AAUGAGGCCAGAGAACAACAUUAAUAAUAAUAUUUACUGUUACCAUUAUUAGCACACCUGAAAUUUUCCCUCCCUUUUUGCACAAGACCAGUAGCUUAUAGUCUCACUACUCUGAUUACAUUUUAGCUCUCCUUGCCUUUAGGGUGAGUCCUUCCCCAGGAACCUCUUGGGUCUUCAUACAAAUCAAUCUUACAGAACUUUCCAGAAGUCCCUCCUCCUAACAUCAAACUUAAGGUGGACAUAAGCCAAGUGUCUCUACUAGACACGUGCAGGAGCAUAUCACUGAGAUGAGGAAACCAAGUUCUUGCACAGAGAUGACUAAUAGAAGAGACCAGACUGUUCUCCCUCUCCCACAGGCUGCCUAUGGGGGCCAAUCAGUCUAUCACAGCCCAGAUGAGAGGAGAACUUGGACUUGGGGGGCAGGUUAGGUAGCGAUGAGGACGUAACAGGCACAAAAUGCUCAGGAACUAGACAUGCAUGAUGGUCUUAGAAAGGAAAUAAGAGGUUCUAAGAGGGAGACGCUGUGAAUGAAGAUGCUUUGGACCCAGAGUCUCAGAAGAUGGAGAAAGUGGCUGGGAGGAAGGGUAUUCAGGGGAAGAUGGAACCAGCGUGUCUUCCAGAAUGGAGUCACACAUUUGGAUGUUGGAAGAUGAUUUCUGAUUUAGAGGGAAAAUAGUAAUUUGGUUUUUAGACAGAUUGGGUUUGUGAUGGCAUGAGAAGUCCAAGUGGAACUUAGAGUCGCAAGAAGUCAGCCGCAGAGAGGUGAGGGCUGCGGUGACAAUCUGGAGGUGAUCCAUGUUGAGUCAAUAGUUCCAGACGGAGGAGGGAGAUGCUACAAUGCGAGCCAAAUACAGUGCCAACAGAAACUCCCCCAGUUAAACCAAGAAGACCAGAGAAGACCGAGAGAAGCACUUCAAGGAGAGAGAGAAGGCAGAAAUCAGAGGUAAUCAAGAACAUCGUGUGAGGUUACAAAGCCAAGGGAGGAGGGAGUUUAAGAAGGAGACGGUUUGCAGUAUUUGAUGCUGAUCAUGUUAUCUGAGCCCCUACCACGCGCUAGGUGUGUUUCGAGGAACUCUUCAUCAGUGAUCUCAGUUAAUUCUCGCAGCAACUCUAUGAGAGGGGUGCUAUUAUUAUCCUCAUUUUACAAAUGAGCUGAGACUCUGCGAAAUCGUACAACUUAUCAAGGCCGUAUGGCCAGUAAAAGGCAGAGCUGGUAUUCAAACCGUUGUCCUGGAACCCAGAGCUGGAUCUUGUGAGAUGAAGAGAAUGUGGAACAGGGGAUGUCUCAGUGUUCCGUGACCCUGGGUAGCUUAACAAAACAAAAUGGAGGUCUCUAUUCUGGAUGAGAAUUGAAGUUGAAAGAGAUGGGAAGCCUGGAUACCCUUCUGAUUAGGAGGCAAGGAGAGGCAGAGAGUCAGAGAGUCAAGAACUGGAAAACCCUUGCCCAUCAAAACUCAAGAUCUGGGGAAGAGAAAAGCAGGAAAGGGAGGAGAGAGAGGGGCUGCCUUCCCAGGGCGCUCACAGCUGUGUCUUCUGCUUUUAAUCAAUAUUGCUGGCUUUCAAGUCAAGGCAAAGAAGAUUGGCAGAUAAAGGGGACAGCGUCUGACCCCUCGGCUGCUUUGCUGGUUUGCAUGUGGAAGUGAAUCAGGGCAGAUGCUGUCUGCAGGCAAGCUGUAAGCUAGGACAGCACCCCCGGAGCUGUGGAGAUUGCCAACUCUGGGAAGCACGGAAGAAUCUGAAAGUGAAGGGACCCUGAGCCUCCUCUCCACCCUACUUCUCUCCAGCCUGUGGCACGGGCCUUCUUCCUGUCUCUGCAACUCAAGGGGCUCAUCCCAGCUGCAGGCCUUCAGGAGUCUCUCUGGCCGCACUGCUUCUCCCUAGUGGCACCAUAGCUGCCUCCCUUUGUUUCUAGAUCUCAGCUCAACUAUCAGCUCCUCAGAGAGGCCUUCUCUCUGUCCUGUUUUAUUAUUUUCAAAGCACUUACCCCCUAUCCAAAAGUUAUUUCAAGAAUUACUUAUUAGCUCAGAUAUCAGGUCCACCAGAGCCUGGCCUUGGGUGUCUUGCUCUCUUCAGCAUCCUUGACACCUAGGAAAGCACCAGGCUUUUAUUUAGUUUGCUCAGUAAAAGUAUGUCAAAUUGAAUUCAUUCGAAUUGAAGCUUCAACCCACGAAAAAUGACCGAAUGUUAGAAAAAGAUUUGUUUGUAAGUGAUUAAAAUUCAGUUACAAAUAAUUAUUUUUGUCCUUCAUCUUUCAAAAUGAUGGUCCAUCCUCCCCCUCAUCCUUUGCUUCGUUCCUUUCAUCUCACCAGCUACUACAUUUGGGAUGUUGGGAACAUCUGUAAACUCCCAAUGGUUAAAGGGAACCUAGGACUUUCAAAAGACGGUCAUAACUGAAGAUUGUACAAAACACGCUGUAAAAGGAAAAUCUCCAAAGGAGAUAAAGGGCAUCAGGAGUAGGGCGUCUCCUUUUUAUGAACAGUUCCUAGGUGGUGCCCGGCCAGCUGCUCCUCCCCUGUGAAAUAGGCCAGCGGGGAAACCUGCCCACGGCCUCGGUUAACCCUUCCCUGGCUCUCACCUCGACAAGAUGCUGGGAAAGAUCAGAAGAUUUCCAGCACUACUUGCUGACUGGAAGAAAACAGCAAAAGGGGGGGAAAAAAGACGGAUUCCAACGUUGCUCCCCACCCCCAAGCUUUCUUCUCCCAAAGAGCCUUCUGUUCAGAGAAAUUAAAGGACUCUGAUAGCAGAUCACAAAUUCAGGACAGAAAAGCUUCACUAUGCGGCCAGAGACUGUAUUGUGGGUAACCAGACGUUGGACACUUUUUUCGCUUAUGAACUUUUGGAGACCAUUCGAAUAAAAGACUAUUUGUUGCUAGGAACAAACACUCACCAGCAAAGAAGCCUUUAAGAGGAGGGGGAAUUUUGCGUUUUGCAUGUUUCUCUUGAAAAAGAGAGGGAGAGAGAAGAGACGGAGAAACAGACACAUGCUGUACUUACUUCUCAGAUAAAAGAACCUAGACUAAUUUGUUUACUAUUGCUGGGGAUUCAUGUUUACAAGUUCCUGUGCCAUUGUGGUAAAAAGAAAUGCUAUUUUUAAAAAGUAAAAACCCACACGAGCCUCCUAGGUAGGGUUCUUCUUCCCCUUCCUGCCUCCCCACUUUCAUUUUACAGAUGGCCGCGAAUAUACAAGCCAAGUCAAAGCUCACGGGGUCCCUGGGGGCUGCUUUGCUUUCCCCACCCAGACUGCCUUCAGAAACAGCCAU
Molecule: long non-coding RNA, 3260 nt
Organism: Equus caballus (horse)
Lineage: Eukaryota; Metazoa; Chordata; Mammalia; Perissodactyla; Equidae
Source: RefSeq, a predicted model, not a curated record